CACCGCGAUAGGGGACCUCGAGUGCUGGGUUACAAACCUGGCUGUUGGGCUGCCUAAAAAGCAGUCUAUAGCAAGGGCCGGGCAAGACCGGUGCCAGCCGCCGCGGUAACACCGGCGGCUCGAGUGGUAACCGCUGUUAUUGGGUCUAAAGGGUCUGUAGCCUGCCGGCUAAGUCUCUUGGGAAAUCUGGCAUCUCAAGUGUCAGGCUGCCAGGGGAUACUGGUCGGCUUGGGACCGGGAGAGGUGAGAGGUACCUCAGGGGUAGGGGUGAAAUCUUGUAAUCCUUGAGGGACCACCAGUGGCGAAGGCGUCUCACCAGAACGGAUCCGACGGCAAGGGACGAAAGCUAGGGGCACGAACCGGAUUAGAUACCCGGG
RNAcentral lists this ribosomal RNA (377 nucleotides) under uncultured Methanosaeta sp. Its description in RNAcentral is "bacterial SSU rRNA". It matches the Rfam family "Archaeal small subunit ribosomal RNA", at positions 363 to 741 of the family's 1478-position model. The record is from RNAcentral. Lineage: Archaea; Methanobacteriati; Methanobacteriota; Methanomicrobia; Methanotrichales; Methanotrichaceae.